RNAcentral lists this ribosomal RNA (503 nucleotides) under uncultured bacterium. RNAcentral describes it as "partial 16S ribosomal RNA". It matches the Rfam family "Bacterial small subunit ribosomal RNA", at positions 30 to 523 of the family's 1533-position model. The record is from RNAcentral.
AUUGAACGCUGGCGGCAGGCUUAACACAUGCAAGUCGAGCGGGGUGAUGGUGCUUGCACUAUCACUUAGCGGCGGACGGGUGAGUAAUGCUUCGGAAUCUGCCUAUUAGUGGGGGACAACAACUCGAAAGGGAUGCUCAUACCGCAUACGUCCUACGGGAGAAAGCAGGGGAUCACUUGUGACCUUGCGCUAAUAGAUGAGCCUAAGUCGGAUUAGCUAGUUGGUGGGGUAAAGGCCUACCACGGCGACGAUCUGUAGCGGGUCUGAGAGGAUGAUCCGCCACACUGGGACUGAGACACGGCCCAGACUCCUACGGGAGGCAGCAGUGGGGAAUAUUGGACAAUGGGGGGAACCCUGAUCCAGCCAUGCCGCGUGUGUGAAGAAGGCCUUAUGGUUGUAAAGCACUUUAAGCGAGGAGGAGGCUCUUUUGGUUAAUACCCAAGAUGAGUGGACGUUACUCGCAGAAUAAGCACCGGCUAACUCUGUGCCAGCAGCCGCAGUAA